ACCCCGGCGGGCAUCGGAGGCAAACUGACCCAGUCUGCCACACCAGCAGUAACAGGCCACUCCGUGCUCUUGCGGACACAGUUGAAGCAGGCAAGCAGCAGCCGCCGCCGCCAGCAGAGCGAGGCGGGGAGCAGAGCAUACCGGUGAGGCGAGCGCCCGGCGUCUUAAGCGAAGGCAAGUGCGGCUGAUCUGAUCCCUCCUUCCCUCCCGCUGCAGUCCACAGGGGGGGGGGGGGGGGGUGACCGGGGGGAACGGGCCAACGGGGCCCCGGUCGCCACGGAGGAAGCGGGGAGGGGGAAGGGCUGCGGCUUGCUCAAAGUCGCUGUGGCGCGCGGCCGCAGCCUCGCCGUCAGGGACUUCACCUCCAGCGACCCGUACGUCAUCGUCCGCGUCGCCGACACGACUGCAAAGACAAAAGUCAUCAACAGUUGCCUAAAUCCAGUUUGGAAUGAAGAGAUGACAUUCUCCAUGAAAGAACCAGUAGGAGUCAUCAAAUUUGAGGUGUUCGACUGGGACCGGUUCAAGUAUGACGACAAGAUGGGGCACGCUUUCCUGGACCUGCAGCCUGUGGCAGCAGCGACAAAGCUGCGGCGAGCGCUGCGGCUCACGGCAGGAGAGACCAAGCUCCGGAAGGUAGCCCUUGAUGUCGACAACUGCCUGCUCUCCGAUAGCUUCGUGAUGUACGCCAACGGGGAGGUUGCGGUAGACGCCUGGCUGCGACUGCGUGACGUCGAGUCUGGUGAGUUGUUCAUCACGGUUAAGUGGAUCGAAGCUGAAAACACAAAAUGAUCACAACCCAGGAGACCAUUAGCGUUGCAUUUUACUUGCAACAAUAGAUGAGGUGACGUUGUUGUAGGGGUGGUUCUCUUGUUGUGCCCAUAUGUGAUUUAUCAGUGGUAUUUCUUCUUUCCUUGUGUGGUGCACUGUCUGACCUGAGUGUAAAUUUUCCACGGUUCUUAACAGAACAAGUAGCGUCUUGCUCGCAAAAAAAAAGUAUGCCAAAUGGGCAUGUUCUGAUCUUUCUAUGUGUUGGGGACACCACCUUCGGGCCGGUCGCCGAAGGCGCGCGAAGACAAGACGUCAGGAGCAAUGAAGCCGAUGUCAAGAGCAAGCGCGGAGAUGGCCCAUCACGUGGGUCCUCGGGUCGGAAGACGAAGACAGGCGAAGACCGGGCGACACAAGUGUCCUGACGAGGAGUGGUCAGUGGGCCCCCACGGUCUUCGUCGAUUAGGUCGAAGAGGGCUGCCUGGAGUUGUGGGCUCUUCUGAGCUGUACCGCACGUAGGCUGGGAUUUAGAAAUCACGUGUACGUCCGGGAAUAUGACCGUUGUAAGGGUGCAAAAGAAUAAUUGUACAUUGGAGGCGUAACGCCACCUAUAAAUACCCCCUGUAAUGUUCAUUGAUGAGACACAUUGAAUAGAGAGAGAACAUUUACUGCCUGAAUUGUGUGCUUGUUCCUUAAUGUUGUAGUGUCCGUCCAUUCCGGAGACGCUCUCCACCAAUAGUUUGGCGCCCACCCGUCGGUUCGAUACACCACAUGGCGGCGACGAAGAAGAGAGGAACCACCGGAGCCACUUCGGAGGACACGACGACGACAACACCCUCGCAGGGCGAAGUGGCAGCAACACAGAUGAACGGGACUACCAGCGACGGCGUCUCUGUCGACGCCCUUGCAGAUGGCCAGCUUGAAGUCAACCUUCUGGACCUCGGCGUCUCAGCCGAAGACAUCGCGGCGAUGCGUCGCAUCAACGCUCGCAUCGAAGAGGCGCGAAGGGCUCAGCAGCAGGCCUUGGAAGCAUAACCUUUGGAGCCACAGAUGACGACAAGAGCGAAGGGGAAGCAGACCAUGCUCACCGAAGCAGAGCGUCAAGAGCAGUACAACAAGUUGAGGGUGGAGGAGCUUCGCUGCAAGAGAAGCUCCGUGCCCAGCUGCUGCAGCUCGAGAAAUUGCAGGCACCACUACCACCACCACCGCAGAAGGAGAUGAUCGGGGUCAACCCGCGACAACAAGAACCACCAAGGUUCCGCCCGAAGUUCGUGCCAGUUGAGGAGAUCUCUGACCAUUCUGAGUCAGACGGCGAAGAGCCUUACCGAAGAAGGCACAAAAAAAUAUCACCACUGUCCGAAGAGCUGGAGGAAGUGCAGUGGCCUCAUCGCCUCAACCCAGCAAUAUUGCCGCAGUUCGAUGGGGAAUCAGACCCCGAAGAGUUCCUCCUCAAAUACGAAGCCACCAUAGAAGCAUCGGGAGGAGGCACCGCGUGUAAAGCGAAGGCGCUCGUCCUCGCAUUGAAGGGCUUGGCGCAGCGUUGGUAUGCAAACAUCCCUUCAGGAAUCAUUCUGUCUUGGAAGUAGCUUCGCUUCGAACUAUGUGCAAGUUUCCGCGCGGUGAGGCCCGACGAAGUCACAUCCUGUGAUUUUCACGAUCUGAGGCAAGGAAGUAUGACCUUGCAAGAAUAUCUUCAGAGCGUCAUGAAGCUUCGCACAAGAGCACCCAAUGUCGCCGACCAGAGCAUCAUCGACUCUGUGGUGAAGGGAAUCAACUUAGGACCAUGCGGAGAAUACAUAUCUCGGCGCAAGCCGAAGACAGUGACAAAGUUGUUCGAGAUAAUGCAAAAAUAUUGCAUAUCCGACCGGGCGAAGAGGAGAAGGCUCGAGGAGAAGAACGAGCAGAAGUCGCGAAGCAGUGAGAGGUCCCAUUCAAAACCAUGGCAUGCUGGCAAACCAAAGCAGAAAAGAACAGUGAAGAAGAACCCCCCCCGAGAGCAGAGACACCAUCACAGGGGCAAAGGCGAGAGGGACCGCCACGAAGAAAGGUCCAACGGCGAUGAUCGUCACCAUCGCGAAGAACGACACAACAAAGGCCGAAGAAAGAAAAUUCCAUUCUGUUUCUUCCACAGGAAGGACAAAGGCCAUUGGACAAAUGAAUGCCCCUUCGCCAUUGAAAGAAAAGAAGAGUUUGACCGGCAGAAUUCCCAGCCAGCGAAGCCAGUCAAUCAUACCUCGCAGUUGCCACCUCAGUCUUCGGCAACGGCAACCACUUGGGCUCCUACGCCAAAUUGGCCGGUGUUAUACCCGGUUUUCAAUUACAACCCGUUACCAUAUGCACCACCUCCGCAACAAUCAAUACCAAUGCUACCACCUCCGCAGUACAGUCAGACAUGGUCCAGAAGCUCAACACCAUUGUCUUGCGACACAACUCUACCUCUACCUCCGAAACUUGAGCCGGGGCAGAUUCCAGAGCGAGCAAUCGAUGCACCUUCGGGCAGCAGGGUGAACAUCAUCAACGCCAUCUCCGGAGGAUCUAAUGAACCAGUGCUUGAGACAAAGAGGCAGCGCAAGGAGUACUUCAGAACAGUUUCUCAUGUCAGCGAGGGUAAAUGCUUCCGAACAACUUGGUCGCAUGUCCCGAUAUCCUUCACACAGGCAUACCUUCGGCUGCAACACUACCCACACAAUGACCCUCUUGUCAUCAGGGCCAACAUCGGCAAGAAUUCAGUGCACUUCGCAGGGAACGAUGUAGGGAGAAUACUGGUGGACAAUGGGAGCUCCGCAGACAUCCUCGUAUGGCAGUGCUUUGUAAAAAUGGGUUUAACAGAAACAGCCUUGCAUAAGUCACCGUAUCUGCUCAUUGGCUUCGGAGGCAAGAGAAUAGAAGCUCUUGGCAAGAUAGAGCUCAAUGUCACAUUCGGCGAAGGAGCAGCACAAAGAACCGAAGCAAUAACCUUCGAUGUAGUUGACAUCAACUACCCAUAUAACGCCAUCUUCGGGCGCAACACCUUGGUCAAAUUUGCAGCAGUGAUUCAUCAAUCCUAUUUAUGCAUGAAGUUACGUUCGGCCGGGGGAAUUAUCACAGUCUUCGGCAACCAGGAAGAAGCAAGAAGAUGCGAAGACAAUGCAUCAAUUGGCAACAAGAAUGUUCAUGUCAUUGAAACACCAAAUGAGGUCAAUGAGGCUGCAAACAGCGAAGAGCCGGAGAAGUCAGGAGGGGUAUCCCCGGCGUAACACACGAAGGUCUAUUGUGUGAAGAUGUGCCCGACCGAAUGGUGAUCAUCGGAAAAGGGCUUGAAGAGGCUGAAGAAGCCAGGCUUAUACAGUUUCUCCGCAAUAAUCAAGACGUGUUUGCUUGGUCCUCUUCGGACCUGCGAGGGAUCAGUCGAGAGGUCAUCGAGCAUGAGCUCAGGGUGAACCCGAAGGCAAAACUAGUAAAGCAGGGACAAAGGUCAAUGUCCGAAGAAAGGCAGAAGGUGGCUCAGGCCGAGGUACAAAAAUUGUUGGACGCGGGCGUCAUCCACGAGGUCCAGUAUCCGGAGUGGCUAGCAAAUGUUGUCAUGGUACCGAAGAAGAACGGGAAGUGGCGAAUGUGCAUUGACUUCACAAUCUUGAACAAGGCGUGCCCAAAGGACGAAUACCCACUACCACGAAUCGACACCCUGGUCGAUGCAGCAGCUUGCUCGGAGAUGCUCAGUAUGUUGGACUGUUUCUUGGGUUAUCACCAGAUAUUCAUGAACAAGGCAGACGAGAAGACCAGUUUCACCACCCCCUUCGGGACAUACUGCUACGUGAGAAUGCCUGAGGGUCUGCGCAAUGCCGGAUGCACUUUCAACAGAAUGAUCAAAAAAGUAUUGGGGGAUCAAUUGGGGAGAAACAUCUCCGCAUACGUUGAUGAUGUGGUUGUGAGAAGCAAAAAGGAGGAGGAUCAUAUCCAAGAUCUUCGCGAAACAUUUGCGAAUCUUCGUCACCAUGGCCUCAAGCUGAACCCGGAGAAAUGUGUCUUCGGCGUGCGAAGAGGCAAACAUCAAGCCCUCAAUUGACACAAUCGAAGCUGGCAAGAUACAAGUAGCAAUCAACAUGAGAAAAUAUCAAGAGGAAACACGAAGGUGGAAGAACAAGAAAGUGAAGCCUAGAAACAUCAAAGAGGGCGACUUGGUGCUUCGAAGAAUACCGAAGGCCAAGCAAAAUGGCAAGAUGCACAGCAAGUGGGAAGGCCCAUUUAUCGUCGCAUCUAUGGCAAGGCCAGAGGCCUGCAGGCUCCGCAUGCUAGAAGGCACCGAAGACCCUUAUUCAUGGAACAAGGACAUGCUACAGAAGUACUACGUGUAGAAAAUGUGUAAGAGCUACCGGAGGAAAAUAACCGAAGGGGCUUGUAGGGCAAAUUCUUUUUCUUUUUUUUUGCGUCUUUCCUUUUUUCUCAUGUGUAAAUCCGCACAAUGUACCGAAGGGCCCGUACUCUUUUCCUUACGGGGAAGGUUUCGAGUGUCCACUCGGGCGCUGAAGGUGUGAGGUUUUUAACGAGGCGGAACCCUAUGUAACCCCUUGUGAAAUAUAAACAAGGCCCCCACAAAAAAGUCUCGAAGGAACGAGCACGCUGCAAAGGCGCCGAAGCGUCUAUCCUUCUUCGUCAAAGCGAAGAGGGGAGUCAUCGGCGCGAAAUACAAGCCAUAACGCUUGAAAGAAGUAAGCACGAGGCGCAACCCCGAUUAAGGGCUUCGCUCCUCUUAGCUUCACUUCCGGAGAAAUUAACAAAAUCCCGUCGCAUGAAAGCGAAGGGUGGAAAGUCCUGUCGCACGAAAGCCGAAGGCUAGGCGCGAACCUCUCCUGCUAAAGAGCCGAAGGUCCCCUAACAAAAUCCCGUCGCAUGAAAACGAAAGGUGGAAAGUCCUGUCGCGCGAAAGCCGAAGGCUAGGCGCGAACCUCUCCGGCUAAAGAGCCGAAGGUCCCCUAACAAAAUCCCGUCGCAUGAAAGCGAAGGGUGGAAAGUCCUGACGCGCGAAAGCCGAAGGCUAGGCGCGAACCUCUCCGGCUAAAGAGCUGAAGGUCCCCUAACAAAAUCCCGUCGCAUGAAAGCGAAGGGUGGAAAGUCCUGCCGCGGGAAAGCCGAAGGCUAGGCGCAACCCUCUCCGGCUAGAGAGCCGAAGGUCCCCUAACAAAAUCCCGUCGCAUAAAAGCAAAGGGUGGAAAAUCCUGUCGCGUGAAAGCUGAAGGCAAAGGCGUGCAUAAUUAAAACAAUAGGCCGGAGGGGCUAAAGCACGUUUCACAGUCAUCAUCCACGCCAGUCGAGCGAAGUGGGGUGGUGUUUCGCAAAACAAAAAACACGCACGAUGCCGGUAAAGAUGAACGAACAAAAUGGCGUUUGUAACCUCGCCCGCACAAAGGGGGGUGGCGCUUCGCAGAAUAUAUUUGUGCACAGUCGAAGGAUAAACGCCAAAAAAUUUCAUAAUUUAUUACACACAAAGUACAGGUUUAUUACACCGCGAAGAUACACUUCGCACGAAGGCACGAAUAAAUAAAUUACAUAGUUACAUCCGAGGCCUCUUCCUCGAAGACUAGGCGGUCCACCUCAGAUAUGAUUUCCUGGACCGCCACAUCUAUUAUUUCUUCGGCUGUCCGUCGAAGAAAUGCUUCGAAGUCGUCCCCUGAAACCGAGGGCAACGUAAAUUAACUAGAGCUCUCGACGAAGAUGCCUUUGCGUCGGUACAUAAAUUCAUGAGGCGGAAGGGGCUCCUCGUCCACCGGCUCCGGCUUCGGCUCACGGAGACCGGCGGGAGCACUAUACGGUCUAUCAGUAUCGAGAAUCCGUUUUAUUUCGCGACGAAGCGCGCGAUCAGCAAGGAUCUUCGCGUGUUUUUCCGGAUCACGCUGAAAUUCGGCAAAAAAACGCUUCGCAUCGGCGUUCCAAAGGUCGUAAACACGCAUCCUAUCCGCCCAGAAAUCUUCAAAUGAAACCGAAGGGUAACGAAUAUGGAACUUUGCCCAGGACGCACCAACGACAUAGAAAUCCUCUCGAUUCAGCUUGCGAGGAAGCACGUCCUCGGUCACCUGCGCAGGGGCCAACGCAGGGUCCUGCGCAGGCACAGAAGAUGUUAGCUUACAAAAGUAAUAAUUACAACCAGAAGACCCCUACACAACAGCCUACAACGACCCUCACACCUCGCCAGCCGAAGGACGAGAGGAGGACGCCCCUGUCCGGCCUUCGGGCGCCGGGGCUCUGUCAGUAGCGUCUCGGCCGUUUUCGCCAUUCGCACCCUCGCCACCAGGUCCUUCUUCGGCAGACACAGCUUCAUGGAGGAUGGGCUCCGCGAUGGUGUCAGCCUUGGCCUGGAGCUGAAAGAUGCCAACUAGAAGUCAGCAGGUUUUCUGUAAAAAAAAACGCAGAUAAUCAUCUGGGGCUUCAUCCGCUCGACUUCACGUUGUACAAGGGCACGACCUUCGCCCUUGAAGAAGCGCUCCAUGAAGCUGACGGCGAUGUUUUUCGCCAAAGCCGGCAGCGUCUCCGGACAAACAGUUUCCUCGCUCGGCCAGCGGACGGAGGAAUCACGAUGGGAACGAAGUUAGCCUUCGUCGUCACCACGCUAGCCUGCCCAGCUUCGGAGGGAAAAAGACUGUACACUGCGGCACUGAGAGUACGGACGGCGACCAUGGCACUGAUAUCUUCAUGGAAAUGUGCCCCAGCGUCCAGCAUGGCGACGCAAGCGUGAAGCCACUGGAAAAAAGGAGCCCAGGCCAACUGUGUCGGUGCCUUCCGGAAACAUAUCCGGAGCCACAAGCCCAUACCGGGCGAGGAGGUCAGGAAGCUCUUCCUGCAACUUCUCCGAACCGGUCUUUAUAGCCUCUUUAAAAAUGCGAAGCCGUCUUUGCAUCCAAUCUCGACGUUUUUCAGCGUCUUCAGCAAGCAACUUGGCGGCCUUCGCGGCGUCCUCCGCCUUCACCGCCCGAUCAGCGGAUGCAAGCAGCUCCGUGGUAAGAGUCGCCUUCGCCUCAGCAGAUCUGGCGAGGCGCGUCUGCAGCUCUGUUUUCUCCUUUUCCAGAGAGGCCACCUUCGCCUCCAGAUCAGCAACAACAGCCUUUGAGCUGUCCUCAGCCGCCAACUGCCGGGCAGCACAGCGCGCAGCCACGAAGGCCUUCAGCGACAAGUCUUGGGCGCUCUCUAGGAUGUUAUUUAGCCCGCUCCCCAUCAAGUCUUUUUCCAUGAGGGGGAAGCAUAAGGAGUCCCCCGCCGCUUCUAAAAGCCCACAUUCGCGGUCCCGGCUCUCAAAACGAAGAGAUUUGACGAUGUUCCCGCCGAAGCACACAGCAGUGGGCUUCGUACCGAGUUCCAUAGCAACAGCUUCAGGAUCAGCGUCACGAACGAAGAAGCUACUGCUUUCCGACGAACUGCUGGAGUCUCCGCCGCCACUCUUUCGCCCCGGAGGAGGACGUGGACUUCUCGGGGAGGAUGAGGCUUCGGCGUUUUUCUCGGAAGGAACUUCGGCUUCUUUGCUGGAGGUAGUAGCUCCGUGUGGAAGAGACGAGCGGCGGGGGGUGUUGACCACGACGUUGACCUCCUCGACGUCGCCCUCGUCUUUGCUCUCCUGGGCGGUGCUGAACUCAAGGUCCAGGCCGGGAUGGACCGCCCUCAGUGGCACCGCCACCUGUUGAAUGCCGAGGGGCAUUGCCUCGGUAGGAGGAAGGUUGCUGUCUUCGCUCCCGCCAUCUUCGGAUUCCCCCUUACUUUGCAGGGGAGACUGAUGCAAGAUGGCGUCGAUGAGCCAGCUUUUCUUUUUCGGCUCUGCGGACGAAGACGCUUGCUUCCGCUUCGCCUUUUCCAGAGCCUUCGCCUUCUCCGGGCCGCCCUGGCCUUUAGCAAGCUUCAACUCGGCCCCCCGCUGAGGAGCGGAGAGGCCCAACGCGUGGAACACCCGGUUCCGUUGAGCCCCGCUAAGAUGACCAACGAGGGCUUUGUACUCGUCCCUUGACACUGACCCGACCAUCUCGUCGACCCGGCUCUCGAUGACAACAGGGUCCACCUCUGCAUCGCCGAAGAGGCAAAAAGUGUAAGCAAAAGAGCGAAGCGUGCACCUCCAUAACAUGAGUUUAAGUACGAAAACUCACGGUCGGUUCGAAGGCUGAAGACGGUUGCGAAAUCAGGUACCGGAAUACCUUCGAUCCAGCGGUCCUCGGCCAACCAGCUGGAGAUGUCCCAGCCGACCCUGACGGGAAAGCAGCUGCAAGCGACGAACUCUUCGAUGAUGUCGCGUGUGCUGAAGGUCUUCGAUAGUUUCCGCAGCAGGGCAAGAAGAACCUCGUCUUCGACCCGGACAUGACAGGCGGCCUUCGGCACAUCGCCAAGAGCAGCAAUGCGGUCGACGAUGAGGGGAUGGGUCUUCAUGACGGAGUCCAAUGUCACCUUGUGAUAGAACCAGUACGAGGACCAAUCGUUGGCCACUUGUUCCUGCUCGCGGGGACUGGACUCGGGAGGUUCUUGUGAAAGGCGAAGGUAUAACAGCCAUAUUGGGGAAUGACUGAUAUCUCCGCACCUCCGGUUGAUUCCACAGAAAUCUUCUUCGGUUGGUAAUGUUAGAACUAACUUGACAUGGCUGUGUGUGCGUUGUGUGCGUCGUGUAUGUGUGUGUGUCAAACGUGUGUUGCCGAGUCAGCCGUGAGCUGCAGAGGAGCUGCAGCCAUGGUGGAGUCCGACCGCGGCGUGGCGCGUUCCAGGUUGUAGGGCGUCGAGCUCGUGAGCAGGUGUACUGCGGUGGGCUCGGCCGGUGUCAGUGAGGGGGCGGUGUGUGUGGCGCCGACUUGCAUGGAGGUAGCCGCGUCGUCCGGGCGAGCGAGUGGCUCACGACGACGUGAGCGGGUCCUGCGGGUCAUGGCGUGAAUGGCGGGCGUGGAGGUUAGCUCCGUGGCGACCCAACCUAUUAGUAGCCCGUUCUCCUCCGUGACUUGCUGCUGGAGUCAUUUUCAGUUUCAAUCAAAGGCCAGCCAACAUACAGGCGAGUUGUCGCCGGGGCGUUCGUCGCCAGUUUUUUUCUAGUGUCUACUGUUCAUCUUCUUCCUUGGUCUGCUAGCGUGUGUGAGAGCUUGAAUGAGCAAGGGAGAGUGCAAGAGCGUGGAACGCGUGUUCCAGGGCAGCGCCAACAAGUGGCAUCAGAGCCGGUGAAGCCCGGAGGUAGUCAUGGCCGGUGAUAGCAGUCCCCCGCGUCCUUCUUCGCCCAAGAGGCCGAAGUUCGACGGCAGUAGCGGCAGCGGCGCACGCGAGGUCGUCGUGGAGCGCAUCGUCUCCAACUCCGGCGUUGUUGAGGUGCCGCAGCUGAUGAGGACCAACUACCACGAGUGGUCUUUGGUCACGCAGGUGAACCUCGAGGCGUUGGAACUCUGGGAUGCUGUGGAGGUGGAGUGCAAGGACGGGCGUUGGCCGCCAUCCUGCGCGGGGUGCCGCCGGACAUGAAGUCUCGCCUCGCCAAAAAGAAGUCCGCGAAGGAAGCGUGGGCGGCCUUGAAGGAGAUGAGGGUCGGCGACAAUCGCGUGAAGUCUUCGGUCGUGCAGCGGCUCGUGAUGGAGUUCGAGAACAUCACGCUCCGUGACAGGGAGUCCGUCGACGACUUCGCGAUGCGCGUCAUCGGGCUCGUCGACAAGCUAGGCGAGCUUGGCGAGGAGAUGGAGGACAGCCGCGUGGUGAAGAAGAUGCUGCGCGUGGUCCGGAAGAGGUACAAGCAGGUAGCGGUGUCGAUCGAGAUGCACUCCGACCUCAACAAGAUGUCAGUGGAGGAGCUUAUCGGCCGGCUGUGCGUGGCAGAGGACGCCGACGCUGAGGAAGCCGCGGACGGCAUCGAGAAGGGCGUCCAGCAGCUGCUCCUCACCGAGGAGCAGUGGGAGGCGCGGCGCCAGCGCGGCGGCGCCAGCGCGGCGGCAAGGAGCGGGCGCGCGGCGGCGGCAGCGGCCAUGGAGGCGAUCGUGACGAGGACGACCACAACAGCACGUGCUCAGGGGCAAGCGGGCGUUCGGGGCGCCGCAACCGAGGGAGGUGCUUCAACUGCGGAGAGCGCGGCCACGUCGCCAAGUAUUGCCCCAAGGUGUACGACGGCAAGGCGCUGAUGGCAGAGGCCGAUGAGGAGCCGACAUUGCUGUGAGCAGAAGGACUUGCCAUGUCAAGCUUAGGGGGGUGAUUGUUAGAACUAACUUGACAUGGCUGUGUGUGGGUUGUGUGCGUCAUGUAUGUGUGUGUGUCAAACGUGUCGCCGAGUCAGCCGUGAGCUGCAGAGGAGCUGCAACCAUGGUGGAGUCCGACCGCGGCGUGGCGUGUUCCAGGUUGUAGGGCGUCGAGCUCGUGAGCAGGUGUACUGCGGUGGGCUUGGCCGGUGUCUGUGAGGGGGCGGUGUGUGUAGCGCCGACUUGCAUGGAGGUAGCCGCGUCGUCCGGGCGAGCGAGUGGCUCACGACGACGUGAGCGGGUCCUGCGGGUCAUGGCGUGAAUGGCGGGCGUGGAGGUUAGCUCCGUGGUGACCCAGCCUAUUAGUAGCCCGUUCUCCUCCAUGACUUGCUGCCGGAGUCAUUUUCAGUUUCAAUCAAAGGCCAGCCAACAUACAGGCGAGUUGUCUCGCCAGUUUUUUUUCUAGUGUCUACUGUUCAUCUUCUUCCUUAGUCUGCUAGCGUGUGUGAGAGCUUGAACGAGCAAGGGAGAGUGCGAGAGCGUGGAACGCGUGUUCCAGGGCAGCGCCAACAGGUAAUGCACCCUGAAGGCACGAGCGAAGCCUUCGGCGCUUGGAGAAAGGCGGCAGGUCUUCGCCAGCCACAUAUACAGGUUCAGCCGCACGAUUGAAGUAGGUGUCAUUUGAUGUCAGUACACCUUGAACAGUUGAAAAAUGUCCACCACCACGGGGUCCAAGGGCAUCCGAGGCCGGCGGUGAACAAGUCACGGAAGACAACCACUUCGUCGUUGCGGGGAUGAGCAACAGUCUCACCCGUCGGAGGAGCGCGGACAUCGUCAGCAGAGACGAAGCCUCGACGAGCCAAGUCGUCGAGGAGGGACGGAGUCAUUUUGGAUAAGCCAAGUACAGUGGUCGUCGGACCUCCCGAUUGAUUCCUCUUCGGAGCCAUCUCCGAAGAUGCUGAGUGUUCUGAGAGCGCCACUCUUGAAGUUCAGCACUAGAUUGGUUCGAAGAAAACGACGCUCAGAAACAACCUUCGCGAAGCGAGAAGCGAGGAGGCUGGGAAGCAAGGAUGGUGAAAAGUAAAAAGCACAGCCGUCGCGGCGCCGCUAUUUAUAGGCGGGGGGCAAGCGCGAGAAUUACCACACGUGCCACUGCGAAAUGGAAAGACGCCGAACCCCGUGCUGCACGCGUGAGAUUAAGAAACCGAGGGGUAUAUCUGUCCUUUCAGGUCUACGAGCCAGCACAAGAUUUCCCGCCAAAGUUCGAAUCUAAUGAUUUAGGCGCGAAACUAACGGUUAUGAACAUGAAAAAUUUGCUUCCUCGACAGGAGCGCAACUUUUUUACAGGUGAGCACGGACUGUGCUUCGCCGGCUACCGUCGCGGCACCCAGCCCGAAGGGUGGCGCUUCGGGACGCCGACGGCACCCAAGGAGUCGAAGCCGCGCCCCUCCCGAAGAUCGGACCGAGGCUUCGAGGGGCUAAUGUUGGGGACACCACCUUCGGGCCGGUCGCCGAAGGCGCGCGAAGACAAGACGUCAGGAGCAAUGAAGCCGAUGUCAAGGGCCAGCGCGGAGAUGGCCCGUCACGUGGGUCCUCGGGUCGGAAGACGAAGACAGGCGAAGACCGGGCGACACAAGCGUCCUGACGAGGAGUGGUCAGUGGGCCCCCACGGUCUUCGUCGAUCAGGUCGAAGAGGGCCGCCUGGAGUUGUGGGCCCUUCUGAGCUGUACCGCACGUAGGCUGGGAUUUGGAAAUCACAUGUACGUCCGGGAAUAAUCCAGGAAUAUGACCAUUGUAAGGGUGCAAAAGAGUAAUUAUACAUUGGAGGCGUAACGCCACCUAUAAAUACCCCCUGUAAUGUUCAUUGAUGGGACACAUUGAAUAGAGAGAACAUUUACUGCCUGAAUUGUGUGCUUGUCCCUUACUAUUGUAGUGUCCGUCCGUUCCGGAGAUGAUCUCCACCAACACUAUGGUUUUUGAAUUUUUAUUUGCUGAUGAUUGAUAAUCCCAGUGACCUUUGAGCUUUGAUUGACAAUGUUGUUUGUUGAUUACUACUAGAACAUUCGGCGCGCUUUGCGAUUUACGUAAGUUAAUGAAAGGAGUCAAUGAAAGGCAACAAUCUCUUGUUCUAUCUAUUUUAUAUGCAGAUACAUGUCUCAAGAAAAAUCUAUCACGAAAUCAUCACAUAUGCUAACAAAAAACAUCAACAGUCAUACAUGUUUUAUGCAUCAGGAGUCUUGUUCGGCAUCUCAAUCAUCAAACACCUGAUGAACAAACUAUCUAUAAGUGAGUGUUUGAUGAACAAACUAUCUAUAAGUGAGGCUAACGAUAAACUCUUCUAUCUAGUGCUCUUAUGUGUCUUUAUUGCAGAACCAUCAGGAGCAUCCAUGUUGAUUUUAGGGUUAGCAACCUACAGUCAAGUGUGCCAAAUAAAAGAAUUAGUAGCCAACUAGGCAAUGUAUUUGAUGCUAUUGUUGACUACCAAAAUCGGCCGUAAUCGGUCUGACCAAGUGGUCCGACCGGUGGGUCCGACCGGUCUGACCAGUUCGAAAGGAGUCCGAGUAUAAUUAGAGAUUUUUGUAGAUUUAGAUCGUAAAAGGGAUUUCUUGUGGGAUAAGUCCAUCCCACUCUGUAAAUAUAAAGGAUCACGACCGAGGCAUUCAAUCGAUCAAAAACACAUCAAUACAUUACUUUUUGUCUUCCCCCAACCCUAGCUCUUCCAACCUCCAUCUGCUAUUCUUCUUUCGUCUCCGCGACAUCUGAAGACAUUCUAGGUGGCAUGUUGAUCUUAGAACAAUCCUGCGUGCGCUUGCCCUGACGGGGUCCCUCCCGGGCGAGCGUUCGUCGGCCUUCGCCGAUUCUCACUGACGACCGGUUUUGACCGGUCCCUAAGAACGGUCUGACCGCUCCCUUAGAACGGUCUGACCGAUCCACGUAGGAGGGCUGCAUCACGCUCCUCGCACCGCGUGUUCGAGCGCAAUCGUAUGUUGGCUCGGAUUGUGCGCCAACAUAUUUUGGCAACUCCGAUGGGGAAGAAAGAUCUUGGUUAUUUAAAAACCGAUCUAAUCUACUCCAUCUACUACCAUGGUGAACUUGUCGAAUCCUAGUGAUGUUGAUGCCAGCAACAUUGUUAGGCCGACUGUCGAUGAAUUGUCGGCUGAAGAUCAUCAAGGUUAUGAAGUCCUUAUCAAGGAGUGCAAAGAGGAGAGCAUACGGUGCAAAGAGAAAGAAAUCGAAGAGAAGCGUCAGUGGUUCUUGUCUCACUUCUCCAUGAAUAGGAAAGGCGACGUUUCAAAACAAGGACGUGGUCAUUCUUUUAGAUGAAGGAGAGCAAGGCAAAGCAAACAGUAAUGUAAGUACUUCAGCAUCAUCGGUUACUUUGGAGCAAGUUAGACAAUUACUAGUUAAUGAUCAGAAGAAGAUGCUUGCUAUUGUCCAAAACAUCUCUAUCUCUAUCUCUACUACUAAAAGGAGACUAAGGGAGAUUUUUUUUGUUCGUCUUCCCACCUGCAAUCCUUUGGUCCGCCUUCGGUGCUGCCCGCUAUCUCGCCGCGCCGAUCACGCCUCAAUCUCGCCUUCCCCGUCCCGCCGCCCACUCCCCACUCCGAUCCGAUCGAAUACGUCGCCUAUGCCUACUGCUCCUGCGCCCUUUCAUCCAAUCCAAUCAACGCCGCUGCUCACCCCACUGCUUGCCUUUCCAUCCAAUCCAAUCAACGACACGCCGAACUCGACGCCGCUGCUCACCGCUGGCCAGUCACGACGCCGCUGAUGCUGCCGCCCAUGCCGAUCGGUUGAGGGCCGUCGGGUCAAGCGCCGCCGGGCGACCGCAACGCUGCUUCCGGCCGCCGACACCAUUCCGGGACGCGCCGAACUCGACGUCGCUGCUCACCGCCGGCCCCGUUGAGGGCUGUCGGGUCAAGCGCCGCCAACCGGCCGCGACGCUGCCGGGCGUCCACACGACGCUGCUCACGCGUCACCCCGCCGCAGCUGCUGCCGGCCGUGCUGAUCCGCAGGUAUGCAAAUUGACACGAUUGAUGAUGCAUAUGAUUAGUGCCAACAUGGCUAGGCAGGCGGUGUGCUUUGUAUGGGCACUACGUUGGGUUUGGUCCCUGCUUGCACCGCUGUGGAUUUUUUAUUUGAUAUUUGUCCUCCUUGACCAUGGCUCAACAUGUAAAAUGGCUUGUCUACAGUCAUAGGUCAGAUAUCAUUAUAUUUGGUCAUGUUGGUGUAUUUAUUUUCUUAUAUUUGAUCAAGUCAGUGUCGAACCCCUGCUAGCUGUCUAGGUCUUUGCUAAAAUUAUUCAUAUAGAAUUGGAGAUUGACAUAUUCUUAGAAUCCUAACAUCUGCUAUACUAUUUGACUGUCUCCAUGAAAACUGAAAAUGUCAGUUUGUGGCUUAGAAAAGAGCUGUCUGAUUUGCUGCACAUGAACAGAUGGUCGGUUAUGAGCCUGCCUGUUGUUCCACUACCUGAUUGUGCAAAUUGGGUUCAUAAUAGUUUAUUACGCUUAUUUACCAGUUUUCUUCCAUCUGUUCAUGUGAAACAACCAAGAAUUUGUUUUGGUGCCUGGAAAUUCAGUACCAGACUCAUGCAGGUUCACAUGCUUCGGUUUCUGUUGUUGGUUCUGUUAGUUCUUGGCAUUAACCAAACUUAUAGUACACACGACGUGGCCUCUGUCCUGGCUGUCCUACUUUACUUCACCCUUACUAAUUUAGCACAAAUUGGAGUUGCUGACUGAAAAUCUAUUGUAUUCUGCUGAAUUUAAUGGAAAUAUUUGUGGCAUACACAUCUUUCAUGUCUUCCAAAUAGUAACAGAAAGUUUGUAGCAUGUUGCCGUUGACUCACUUUGUUUCUGUGCAUGAUGUCUUGGUUGUAUUGCUUGCGGAUAAAGUGUCAUGUGUUUGGAUUUGUACACCUUCCAUUCCUCUAUGUUUAUCCAUUUUGUUCCCAGUUGCUGCUUUGUAAUGCUUGAUCAUUGAAGUAAACAAGAGUAUAUUUAUUUUAAUAUUUUUCACUCUAGAAGCCUAAAAGAGAAGAAAAGUUUGACUGGCAGGAUUCCUAUAAACCAAGCCUAUAAACCAUCAGUUUCUUGCUGAAACCAAAUGCUCCCACUCUUUGCCACUUCAAAUCAGCCUGGUUUAGGAUGAAACUGAUAAUUUUUCGAUGUUACUUGGUGUUGAUCCCUAAACUAGCAUUUUCGUGUCCACUGAGAUCCUCGGUACAUUUUCUACACAAUGUGGUGCCCCGCUUUCAUGUAUAGCUAACCAAGCAAUAUCCUUUCUUUCUCUUAGUCCUGCUCACCCUGUCUACAUCUGUGCAAGCCUUUCACUGAGACUUUGGGGUAUUAAUUUUCCCAUUAUUGAAGGUGUUCUGUUUGUAGCUGAAUUUUUCUUUUUGCUGAAAAUCUAUGUUUUUGCUGCAACCUUCUGAUUAGUAGGAAUCGAUGCAGUGGCCAUGCUACAGGAGCAUGAAGCACCAUGUAUGACUUAUUCCUAUCUGACUGGUAAAAGCCCUUACCUUCUACACACUGCAAAUCACCUUGUUUUGGGAGUAACUGUUUGUAUUUAGUGUCAAUUCAUGAAAAUUAUUUUUAUCACAGUCACCGACUUUCAGGUCAUCUGCUGAUCUGACGAUGUUAUUUUUGUUGUCUACAACGUGUGAUCUCAGAUGGAUCCUCUGAAUAAUACUAAAGUUACUCCUCUGAAUAAUACUACAGGUAGUAUUCUUUUGUCCCGCUUCACAGUUUAUCUUCUCAGCGUACAAAACAGGAAAGAAGACCCGGUGCUGCCCCAGUAACAGAUGAGCUAAGGGAGGAGAAGAACAGAAAGAGUGAGGCGUAUCACCGUCAAAAAUUUAGUGCUCCCUCGAUGACAGAUGAGCAAAUGGAGGAGAAGAACAGAAAGCGGCGUGAAGCAUAUAAGAGGAAAAAGAGUCAUGCACUCAACAAGGAAAAUGAUCUAGUGGGUGGAGUCAUGGCUGAACAUUCAAUGGAUUCGGAUGAUAAAAAAUUGACUCCCUUGAAGUCAGUUGAUACAAAUAUUGUACUAAGCAAAAAGAGGCAUAACAGUGAAAAUGAUCCAGGUUCGGAUUCGCUCGAAGGAGGGCAUGAUAAAAUAUUAACUCCCUUGAAGUUAGUUGAUACAAAUAUUGUAAUGAACAAAAAUAGGCAUAACAAUGAAGAUGAUCCAGGUUUGCA
Molecule: RNA transcript, 17101 nt
Organism: Panicum virgatum (switchgrass)
Lineage: Eukaryota; Viridiplantae; Streptophyta; Magnoliopsida; Poales; Poaceae
Gene name: protein C2-DOMAIN ABA-RELATED 11-like
Exons: 7
Source: RefSeq, a predicted model, not a curated record